GUCAGCUGGUGGGGUCAGUCAGCAGGUGGGUGCAGUCAGCAGGUGGGUCAGUCAGCAGGUGGGGUCACUCAGCAGGUGGGGUCAGUUAGCAGUUGGUUCAGGAAGCAGGUGGGUCAGUCAGCUGGUGGGGUCAGUCAGCAGGUGGGUGCAGUCAGCAGGUGGGUCAGUCAGCAGGUGGGGUCACUCAGCAGGUGGGGUCAGUCAGCAGGUGGGUACAGGAAGCAGGUGGGUCAGUCAGCAGGUGGGUGCAGUCAGCAGGUGGGUCAGUCAGCAGGUGGGUCAGUCAGCAGGUG
Hypanus sabinus (Atlantic stingray) is the source of this 293-nucleotide long non-coding RNA. RefSeq lists it as uncharacterized. The transcript has 3 exons. Lineage: Eukaryota; Metazoa; Chordata; Chondrichthyes; Myliobatiformes; Dasyatidae. The record is from RefSeq and is a predicted model, not a curated record.